GAGUCAUUGGGACUCUAUUAAACCUAAAGGCGCAAUGAAAGUAAAGGUCCGCCUCGCGCGGACCGAGGGAGGAUGGGUCCGUCCGCGGACGGGCCCCGCACUCCCGGGGCGUCUCGUUCUCAUCGCGAGAAGAGGCGCACCCAGAGCGUACACGCUGGGACCCGAAAGAUGGUGAACUAUGCCUGGUCAGGACGAAGUCAGGGGAAACCCUGAUGGAGGUCCGUAGCGAUUCUGACGUGCAAAUCGAUCGUCGGAACUGGGUAUAGG
RNAcentral lists this ribosomal RNA (267 nucleotides) under Gyronotus pumilus. RNAcentral describes it as "partial 28S ribosomal RNA". It matches the Rfam family "Eukaryotic large subunit ribosomal RNA", at positions 688 to 921 of the family's 3401-position model. Lineage: Eukaryota; Metazoa; Arthropoda; Insecta; Coleoptera; Scarabaeidae. The record is from RNAcentral.